CCUACGGGGCGCAGCAGUGAGGAAUAUUGGUCAAUGGCCGGAAGGCUGAACCAGCCAUGCCGCGUGAAGGUCAGUGCCCUAUGGGCGUUAAACUUCUUUUGUGCGGGAGCAAUAAUGGUCACGUGUGGCCAGACGAGAGUACCGUACGCAUAAGCAUCGGCUAACUCCGUGCCAGCAGCCGCGGUAAUACGGGGGAUGCAAGAGUUAUCCGGAUUUCUUGGGUUUAAAGGGUGCGUAGGCUGUGAGGUAAGUCAGCGGUGAAAUGCCCCCGCUCGACGGGGUGAAGUGCCAUUGAUACUGCCUUGCUAGAAUGCGGAUGCCGUGGGAGGAAUGUGUGGUGUAGCGGUGAAAUGCAUAGAUAUCACACAGAACACCGAUUGCGAAGGCAUCUCACGAAUCCGCGAUUGACGCUGAUGCACGAAAGCGUGGGUAUCAAACAGGAUUAGAUACCCGUGUAGUC
RNAcentral lists this ribosomal RNA (460 nucleotides) under uncultured bacterium. Its description in RNAcentral is "partial 16S ribosomal RNA". It matches the Rfam family "Bacterial small subunit ribosomal RNA", at positions 338 to 795 of the family's 1533-position model. The record is from RNAcentral.